This 913-nucleotide long non-coding RNA is filed under the name Olea europaea (common olive). RNAcentral describes it as "long non-coding RNA (OEUR_LNC008565)". The record is from RNAcentral. Lineage: Eukaryota; Viridiplantae; Streptophyta; Magnoliopsida; Lamiales; Oleaceae.
AACAAAAUUCCAUCAAGGGUAAGAGACGCCAACAAAAUGUAUGAACAGAAUUCCAUCAAGCAAAAGUUUAAUUUGAUUAAAGAUGAAGCGCAAUUUAAAGUAUUGAUAUGCAACGCUCGUUUAAUAGAAUCUUAUCCACUAGAUUUAGGGUGAAGAAGACCAACGACAAUAACGUCAAUGGUAAGAGACACCAAUAAAAUGACAAAUAAACAAAUAUUAUUCUCGAUAUACAUAAAGUUCCUUGUGUAGUGAGAAAAACGCCUAUCAAUCAAUUAACCACACAAAGUUAGUUAACUAUUCAAUAUCUAUCAAGCUGCAAUGGAUUGGCACCAAAAGUGGAUGGAUAGAGCUCGGAUCACGAGCCUAUAAUCACACAGCACCACACAAAUUGGACCAAGAUUACCCACUCAAAUGGAUUACAAUAGAAGACCACUCACAGAGGCGAUCGAAUAGGGGCAAAACAGAGCAGCAACAGGGGGUAAAAACACACACAGACAGAGGUACAAUCCUGGCCAAGUGCCGACGGUAAGGAGCAAAGAAGGCAAUCACAAAGAGGCAGAAAAAAAAGAUAGCCACGAAGUAAGAGCCAAGGAAGAAAAAAGGCGCAACCAAGUCUAAAUAAUAAUGCGGAGGAAGUUGUGUAUUGUAUCAGAGCACAAAGGACACAAACCUAUAUAUAUGUAAUAAUAAUAGGUCAAGUAAUGGGUCGAGCCUGUUUAGUGGUCUUUGUCCUUCACUGUAAUUUCGGCUACCAAGUGUGAUUUCUGGCCUAAUAGUAAUUGAGUGCAUUCCAUUAUGAGUUUCCAAUGAAACUAAUUGAAUAUAGUAUCCAACCGAAUUAUUCAUUAUCGUCUCAAGGUUUAUUUGAUAUCAAAAUAUCGAAAACCUUGUAUGAAAAUUUUAUCAUUCAAAU